ACACUCUUUCCCUAUGAUUUUCAUGGACAAUGCCUAAAUCGCAUAAGUGAAAUGACUUUAUAUCUUAAUACCAAAACUAUCACAACAACUAAAAUAUUUAACGACACUCUACUAUUAGUUCAAAAUAUACAAUAAGGACUAUCAACUAAGGAUAGGACCAACAUUCUAUGCAAAAACUUUUUUUGACACUCCAAAAUUUGUGGAAUCAUAGUUAAAAGAGAAGCAACACUAAUCUCAAAACAAAGGUUGAAAGGAAUCUAGGUUGAUGAAAUAAGGUAUGCAAUCAAGAAAGAAGCUCAGUUAAUUCAAAUAGGCAAUUGGAAUCAAUGACAGCUAAACUACACUCAAAUGUUGGACUCGCUUAUGAAUUCCAUUCAUUUAAGUAGCAGGCGUAGCAGGAGUAUAAUAUCAUGGGCAGAGCAUGCAUAGAGAAACAUCAUGACUAAAUCAUAAGAGAAAAAAGCAUGAAUUUCGACCAAGUUCAAGCAGAGAAUCCGAGCUAAUGGCAUGCUUGAGGAAUGUUAAUAUAGCACAAACAGGAAGCAUAUUAUUUAUUUGCAAUAAUAAGCAUAAGAUUCCAAUAAACACCUAAACAAGCAAUAAAUUUUACGAAUACCAUCGGAUGAACAAGAGAGAGACAAACUAGGUAUGUAUAGGCGGACUCAAUACUUAAAUUUAUGAAGAUAAUAAAGAUGCUAGCAAUUUGAUCAAGACAAACAAAUCAACUAAAGAUUCGCAACUACGCCUCAAUCAAACAGUAGGCGAGAUUUCAAUAACUCAAAGAAUCUAGUUUAGGUAAUCAUCCAUUUUUCUUAAAUCUAAUAUAAAAAGAAAAAC
Molecule: long non-coding RNA, 837 nt
Filed under: Solanum tuberosum (potato)
Lineage: Eukaryota; Viridiplantae; Streptophyta; Magnoliopsida; Solanales; Solanaceae
Description: long non-coding RNA (STUB_LNC007440)
Source: RNAcentral